Molecule: ribosomal RNA, 489 nt
Filed under: uncultured bacterium
Lineage: Bacteria
Description: partial 16S ribosomal RNA
Rfam family: Bacterial small subunit ribosomal RNA
Source: RNAcentral
GAUGAACGCUAGCGGCAGGCUUAAUACAUGCAAGUCGAGGGGCAGCAGGACUGUAGCAAUACAGUUGCUGGCAACCGGCAAACGGGUGCGGAACACGUACGCAACCUACCCAAAACUGGGGGAUAGCCCGGGGAAACCCGGAUUAAUACCUCGUAACCUUUUUAAGUGGCAUCACUUGAUAAGUAUAGCUCCGGCGGUUUUGGAUGGGCGUGCGCCUGAUUAGGUAGUUGGUGCGGGUAACGGCCCACCAAGCCUGCGAUCAGUAACUGGUGUGAGAGCACGACCAGUCACACGGGCACUGAGACACGGGCCCGACUCCUACGGGAGGCAGCAGUAAGGAAUAUUGAUCAAUGGACGCAAGUCUGAACCAGCCAUGCCGCGUGAAGGAUGAAGGUCCUCUGGAUUGUAAACUUCUUUUAUGGGGGACGAAACCCGGAUAUUCUUAUCCGAUUGACGGUACCUCAGGAAUAAGCACCGGCUAACUCCGUG